UGACCUAGCGGCGGACGGGUGAGUAAUGCUUAGGAAUCUGCCUAUUAGUGGGGGACAACAUCUCGAAAGGGAUGCUAAUACCGCAUACGUCCUACGGGAGAAAGCAGGGGACCUUCGGGCCUUGCGCUAAUAGAUGAGCCUAAGUCGGAUUAGCUAGUUGGUGGGGUAAAGGCCUACCAAGGCGACGAUCUGUAGCGGGUCUGAGAGGAUGAUCCGCCACACUGGGACUGAGACACGGCCCAGACUCCUACGGGAGGCAGCAGUGGGGAAUAUUGGACAAUGGGGGGAACCCUGAUCCAGCCAUGCCGCGUGUGUGAAGAAGGCCUUUUGGUUGUAAAGCACUUUAAGCGAGGAGGAGGCUACCGAGAUUAAUACUCUUGGAUAGUGGACGUUACUCGCAGAAUAAGCACCGGCUAACUCUGUGCCAGCAGCCGCGGUAAUACAGAGGGUGCAAGCGUUAAUCGGAUUUACUGGGCGUAAAGCGCGCGUAGGUGGCCAAUUAAGUCAAAUGUGAAAUCCCCGAGCUUAACUUGGGAAUUGCAUUCGAUACUGGUUGGCUAGAGUAUGGGAGAGGAUGGUAGAAUUCCAGGUGUAGCGGUGAAAUGCGUAGAGAUCUGGAGGAAUACCGAUGGCGAAGGCAGCCAUCUGGCCUAAUACUGACACUGAGGUGCGAAAGCAUGGGGAGCAAACAGGAUUAGAUACCCUGGUAGUCCAUGCCGUAAACGAUGUCUACUAGCCGUUGGGGCCUUUGAGGCUUUAGUGGCGCAGCUAACGCGAUAAGUAGACCGCCUGGGGAGUACGGUCGCAAGACUAAAACUCAAAUGAAUUGACGGGGGCCCGCACAAGCGGUGGAGCAUGUGGUUUAAUUCGAUGCAACGCGAAGAACCUUACCUGGUCUUGACAUAGUAAGAACUUUCCAGAGAUGGAUUGGUGCCUUCGGGAACUUACAUACAGGUGCUGCAUGGCUGUCGUCAGCUCGUGUCG
RNAcentral lists this ribosomal RNA (984 nucleotides) under Acinetobacter lwoffii. RNAcentral describes it as "bacterial SSU rRNA". It matches the Rfam family "Bacterial small subunit ribosomal RNA", at positions 88 to 1067 of the family's 1533-position model. Lineage: Bacteria; Pseudomonadati; Pseudomonadota; Gammaproteobacteria; Moraxellales; Moraxellaceae. The record is from RNAcentral.